Molecule: ribosomal RNA, 460 nt
Filed under: uncultured bacterium
Lineage: Bacteria
Description: partial 16S ribosomal RNA
Rfam family: Bacterial small subunit ribosomal RNA
Source: RNAcentral
CCUACGGGUGGCAGCAGUGAGGAAUAUUGGUCAAUGGCCGGAAGGCUGAACCAGCCAUGCCGCGUGAAGGUCAGUGCCCUAUGGGCGUUAAACUUCUUUUGUGCGGGAGCAAUAAUGGUCACGUGUGGCCAGACGAGAGUACCGUACGAAUAAGCAUCGGCUAACUCCGUGCCAGCAGCCGCGGUAAUACGGGGGAUGCAAGCGUUAUCCGGAUUUAUUGGGUUUAAAGGGUGCGUAGGCUGGGAGGUAAGUCAGCGGUGAAAUGCCUACGCUCAACGGGGUGAAGUGCCAUUGAUACUGGCUGGCGGGAAUGCGGAUGACGUGGGAGGAAGGUGUGGUGUAGCGGUGAAAUGCAUAGAUAUCACACAGAACACCGAUUGCGAAGGCAUCCCACGAAGCCGCGAUUGACGCUGAUGCACGAAAGCGUGGGGAUCAAACAGGAUUAGAUACCACUGUAGGC